RNAcentral lists this ribosomal RNA (450 nucleotides) under uncultured bacterium. Its description in RNAcentral is "partial 16S ribosomal RNA". It matches the Rfam family "Bacterial small subunit ribosomal RNA", at positions 354 to 796 of the family's 1533-position model. The record is from RNAcentral.
GUGGGGAAUAUUCCGCAAUGGACGAAAGUCUGACGGAGCAACGCCGCGUGAGUGAUGAAGGUUUUCGGACUGUAAAGCUCUGUUGUUUAGGACGAAAGUGCCUGUUGCGAAUAGUUACAGGUAUUGACGGUACUGAACGAGGAAGCCACGGCUAACUACGUGCCAGCAGCCGCGGUAAUACGUAGGUGGCAAGCGUUGUCCGGAAUUAUUGGGCGUAAAGAGCAUGUAGGCGGGAAUCUAAGUCUGUUGUGAAAAUGCGGGGCUCAACCCCGUAUUGCGAUGGAAACUGGGUUUCUUGAGUGCAGGAGAGGAAAGGGGAAUUCCCAGUGUAGCGGUGAAAUGCGUAGAUAUUGGGAGGAACACCAGUGGCGAAGGCGCCUUUCUGGACUGUGUCUGACGCUGAGAUGCGAAAGCCAGGGUAGCGAACGGGAUUAGAUACCCCUGUAGUCC